AGAGUUUGAGUCCUGGCUCAGGAUGAACGCUGCGGCGUGCCAUACAUGCAAGUCGAGCGAACAGAUAAGGAGCUUGCUCCUUUGAAGUUAGCGGCGGACGGGUGAGUAACACUGGGUAACCUACCUAUAAGAACUGGGAUAACUUCGGGAACCGGAAGCUAAUACCGGAUAACAUUUAGAACCGCAUGGUUCUAAAGUGAAAGAUGGUUUUGCUAUCACUUAUAGAUGGACCCGCGCCGUAUUAGCUAGUUGGUAAGGUAACGGCUUACCAAGGCGACGAUACGUAGCCGACCUGAGAGGGUGAUCGGCCACACUGGAACUGAGACACGGUCCAGACUCCUACGGGAGGCAGCAGUAGGGAAUCUUCCGCAAUGGGCGAAAGCCUGACGGAGCAACGCCGCGUGAGUGAAGAAGGGUUUCGGCUCGUAAAGCUCUGUUGGUAGUGAAGAAAGAUAGAGGUAGUAACUGGCCUUUAUUUGACGGUAAUUACUUAGAAAGUCACGGCUAACUACGUG
Molecule: ribosomal RNA, 515 nt
Filed under: uncultured Staphylococcus sp.
Lineage: Bacteria; Bacillati; Bacillota; Bacilli; Caryophanales; Staphylococcaceae
Description: bacterial SSU rRNA
Rfam family: Bacterial small subunit ribosomal RNA
Source: RNAcentral